RNAcentral lists this transfer RNA (75 nucleotides) under bacterium. RNAcentral's name for it is "tRNA-Asn". It matches the Rfam family "tRNA". Rfam says of the family: Transfer RNA (tRNA) molecules are approximately 80 nucleotides in length. Their secondary structure includes four short double-helical elements and three loops (D, anti-codon, and T loops). The record is from RNAcentral.
UCCGGCGUAGCUCAGUGGUAGAGCGGGUCGCUGUUAACGAUUAGGCCACUGGUUCGAAUCCAGUCGCCGGAGCCA